UAGAUGAUGAAUUAAUAUAUGUAACGGUGCAACUUGAUUGGAUUACACAUACUUUUAUUUAUUAUUCACACAUAUCGACACAUCUGCCGGGGUGCUCAGUUAUCUAUUUUAGGUAACGAUAGCGAUACGCUAUCAUAGGGUCGGUUUUAAGAUGGGAUAUGUGGACGCCUAACC
Molecule: unclassified non-coding RNA, 174 nt
Filed under: Photobacterium kishitanii
Lineage: Bacteria; Pseudomonadati; Pseudomonadota; Gammaproteobacteria; Vibrionales; Vibrionaceae
Description: t44
Rfam family: t44 RNA (bases 47-173)
About the family: This family consists of a number of bacterial RNA genes of between 135 and 170 bases in length. The t44 gene is found between the map and rpsB genes in all species in the full alignment apart from Shigella flexneri. The function of this RNA is unknown.
Source: RNAcentral